AUCCCCUGGCAAUGGGCAAAGAGACACCUUGGUGGUGGUGUUGCUCUUCUUCAGUCUAUCAGUCAGGGGCAUGACAGUCCUUUGUUCAUCCUAGCUUGAUGCCUGACUUGGUGGCCAAAGCUGUUUCAUGCCUAGGGCACAUAA
Molecule: small nucleolar RNA, 144 nt
Organism: Onychomys torridus (southern grasshopper mouse)
Lineage: Eukaryota; Metazoa; Chordata; Mammalia; Rodentia; Cricetidae
Product: small nucleolar RNA SNORA48
Exons: 1
Source: RefSeq, a predicted model, not a curated record